UUUUUUUUUUUUUUUUUUUUUUUUUGAGACACAGUCUUGCUCUGUCGCCCAGGCUGGAGUACAGUAGCCCAUCUCGGCUCACUGCAACCUCUGCCUCCCAAGUUUAAGCAAUUCUCCUGCCUCAGCCACCUAAGUAGCUGGGAUUACAGGCACCUGCCACCACACCCGGCUACUUUUUGUGUUUUUAGUAGACACCAAGUUUCACCGUGUUGGCCAGGCUGGUCUCCCAACCUCAAGUGAUCCGCCGGCCUCGGCCUCUCCAAGUGCUGGGGUUACAGGCGUGAGCCACUGAGCCCAGCCCUUUGCAGCAUAAAGUUCUAAUGAGACUUUAGGCCCUCAGUUCUUCCUGGCUGUUUAGGAGGCUCUUGUCUAAACCUCAAUCUUGAUGCGUCGGAGGGAAGAUGCUUCACUUUGCAGUGAACUAACUGUGUGUGUGUGUGUGUGUGUGUGUGUGCGCGCGCGCGCGCCCUCACGUGUGUGUGUGUGUGCUUCACAUGUGUGUGUGUGCCCUCACGUGUGUGUGUGUGCCCUCAAGUGUGAGUGUUUGUGUGUGCCCUCAAGUGUGUGUGUGCAUGCCCUCACGUGUGUGCCCUCACGUGUGUGUGCCCUCACAUGUGAGGGUGUGUGUGUGCCCUCACGUGUAUCUGUGUGUGCCCUCACGUGUGUGUGACGUGUGAGUGUGUGUGUCCUCAAGUGUGAGUGUGUGUGCCCUCAUGUGUGUGUGUGCAACCUCACGUGAGUGUGUGUGCGUGCCCUCAUAUGUGAGUGUGUGUGCGCCCUCACGUGUGUGUGUGCACGUGCCCUCACGUGUAUGUGCCCUCACGUGUGAGUGUGUGUGCCCUCACGUGUGUGUGUGCACCCUCAUGUGUGAGUGUAUAUGUGCACGCCCUCACGUGUGAGUGUGUGUGCCCUCAUGUGUGUGUGUGCACCCUCACGUGAGUGCACACCCUCACAUGUGUGUAUGUGUGCCCUCACGUGUGUGUGUGUGUGCCCUCAUGUGUGUGUGAGAUACUGGUGUUGGGGAAUAGACAAGGAUAACCCAGAGCAAUUGUUACAGUCCCAGGGAUUAAUUUUCACUAUUGAUACUCGAAAAUGAGUCUUCGCUGUUUUUCCACGUCCUCUUUAUUUUUUCAAGAUUUUUAUGAGGUUAUCUAUUAUAUAGUUUUGACCUUAUUAUUAAAAUUUUUAAAAAGUUUUCAAUAGCUUUUGGGGUAUAAGUGGUUUUUGGUUACAUGAAUGAAUUGUCUAGUGGUGAAAUCAGAGAUUUUAGUGCAGUGGUCACCCAAGUAGUGUACAUCGUACCCAAUACGUGGUUUUCAUCUCUCACCUCCUUCCCAUCCUCCCCAUUCUGGGUCUCUGAAGUCCAUUAUUCCACUCUGUCUGCCUCUGUGUACCCAUAGCUUAGCUCCCAUUUUUAGGUGAGAAGGUAGCAUAUUUGGUUUUCCAUUCCCGAGUUACUUCACUUAGAAUAAUGGCCUUCAGCUCCAUCCAAGACAUUAUUUCACUCUUUUGAGGCUGAGUAGCAUGCCAUGGUGUAUAUAUACCACGUUUUCUGUAUCCACUCAUUGAUCGAUGGGUACUUACAUUGGUUCCAUAUCUUCACAAUUGUGCCAUAAUGAACAUACGCAUGCAGAUGGGUUUUUGAUAUAAUGACUUCAUUUCCUUUGGUUAAAUACCCGGUAACGGGACUGCUGGAUCAAAUGGUAGAUCUGCUUGCAGUUGUUUAAGAAACCUCCAUACUGUUUUCCACAGAGCCUGUGCUCACUCACAUUCCCACCAGCUACGUAUGAGCAUUCC
This is a long non-coding RNA of Macaca mulatta (Rhesus monkey), 1797 nucleotides long. The record is from Ensembl. NCBI's taxonomy places the organism in Eukaryota, Metazoa, Chordata, Mammalia, Primates, Cercopithecidae.